This 867-nucleotide long non-coding RNA is filed under the name Homo sapiens (human). RNAcentral describes it as "HSALNT0051837". Lineage: Eukaryota; Metazoa; Chordata; Mammalia; Primates; Hominidae. The record is from RNAcentral.
CAUUUAUUGAAACCAUCAACAUGCUGAAAGGGCACGGAAGGGCAUGGAGAAAGAACACGUCAAGGAGUGGACCACUGUCACAACACCACUGAAUAACAAUCAAGGAAGGCAGAAUUUGAAAACACCUUUUUCAAGGUAUACCAGGCAAAGUUAGAGCCAGACUAAAAUAUGUUGCAUCCUGAUUCCCAAACCUGCUAAUGACCUGACGAGUUCAUUUGACUAUGGCUGAAGCAUAUAUUCCUGUUCCACAGAACUGUAUCCGAGAAGCAGCAAGGUGCCCAGAGAUGUGAUAAAGGACUGCUCGACUCCGUCUCCGGGCUGAGUCAAAGUGGGUCCCUGCUCUUGAUCUUCCUUUGACUUUGUCUGGGGGAAAAUAAAACUCAUUAGACACACAUGCAUGCAUCAUUUCACCUCAAGAAUGUCAUUUUGACAGUUCCCUUUCAAGAGCAUAUUGUACAUGUUUUCCAAUACCUACAAUAAUCUGCUGGAUCCUAAUGACAUUUAAUUUAAUUUUAGUCCUUUAUGAUUUAUAUAUUUUUAUCAUCAUAUUGACUGCAUUAAUUUUUAAAAAUUAAAGUAAAACGUACAUGAACACAGAAGAACUUUAAAAUAGUUCAGGAAAUCAUUAAUGGGUAUUACUCCUUUCUUCCUGCUAUUCUACACUGAAAUCCCUAGUUCUACUCUCAACAUUUAAAAACAUUCUUUCCAGAAAAAUUUCUAAUAUGUACCCUAUAUCCACAUUUACAAUUAUUUUUUCUCUGCAUAAAUGUAAGUUUACAGUGAAAACUGUUUACUUAUUACUUUUUUCACAUUAAAAUACUUGUAAAUCAUUCCAUAUUUGCAUAUUAUAGUUCUCUAUUUUUUAAA